UACGAGGGGGGCAAAUGUUGUUCGGAAUCACUGGGCGUAAAGGGAGCGUAGGCGGGUUUCUAAGUCAGGUGUUUAAUCCCGGGGCCCAACCCCGGACAGGCACUUGAAACUGGGAAUCUUGAAUAGGGGAGAGGUCAGUGGAAUUGGAGGUGUAGCGGUGGAAUGCGUAGAGAUCUCCAAGAACACCAGUUGCGAAGGCGGCUGACUGGACCAAUAUUGACGCUGAGGCUCGAAAGCAUGGGGAGCAAACAGG
RNAcentral lists this ribosomal RNA (253 nucleotides) under uncultured bacterium. Its description in RNAcentral is "partial 16S ribosomal RNA". It matches the Rfam family "Bacterial small subunit ribosomal RNA", at positions 524 to 776 of the family's 1533-position model. The record is from RNAcentral.